RNAcentral lists this transfer-messenger RNA (354 nucleotides) under chicken gut metagenome. It matches the Rfam family "transfer-messenger RNA". From Rfam's summary of the family: Bacterial tmRNA, also known as 10Sa RNA or SsrA, is named for its dual tRNA and mRNA-like properties. Its role is to liberate the mRNA from a stalled ribosome. To accomplish this part of the tmRNA is used as a reading frame that ends in a translation stop signal. The record is from RNAcentral.
GGGGGCGCACUUGGUUUCGACGGGGAAGACCUUUUUGGGGCAUAAAGCGUGUGGUAGCCGGUUACCAUAAAACGGGUUAAAAAUAAACGCAGAUAAUAGAAAUCUUGCUGUUGCAGCUUAACAAAUAGCUCAACUGUUCCGGUUAGAUUCCCACGAUUUAACAAUGGAGCAUCAAAACAAGUGGGGAACUUUUCAAGAAAUGCCCAAAGCCUUGAAAAAGAACAAAUUGGGCUAGUUCAAUUUAAUUUUGUUUGUUGAGUUAAAUUGAAUUAAACAAUUUUCAAUAAACUACACACGUAGAAAAGCGCCACAAAGCUUUUUCGGACGUGGGUUCAAUUCCCACCGUCUCCACCA